This 439-nucleotide ribosomal RNA is filed under the name uncultured bacterium. RNAcentral's name for it is "bacterial SSU rRNA". It matches the Rfam family "Bacterial small subunit ribosomal RNA", at positions 339 to 796 of the family's 1533-position model. The record is from RNAcentral.
CUACGGGAGGCAGCAGUGGGGAAUCUUAGACAAUGGGGGAAACCCUGAUCUAGCCAUGCCGCGUGGACGAUGAAGGCCUUAGGGUUGUAAAGUCCUUUCAGCUGGGAAGAUAAUGACGGUACCAGCAGAAGAAGCCCCGGCUAACUCCGUGCCAGCAGCCGCGGUAAUACGGAGGGGGCUAGCGUUGUUCGGAAUUACUGGGCGUAAAGCGCACGUAGGCGGAUUGGAAAGUUGGGGGUGAAAUCCCGGGGCUCAACCCCGGAACUGCCUCCAAAACUAUCAGUCUAGAGUUCGAGAGAGGUGAGUGGAAUUCCGAGUGUAGAGGUGAAAUUCGUAGAUAUUCGGAGGAACACCAGUGGCGAAGGCGGCUCACUGGCUCGAUACUGACGCUGAGGUGCGAAAGUGUGGGGAGCAAACAGGAUUAGAACCCUAGUAGUCC